UGGGGUGAAGGCCCACCAAGGCUUCGACGGGUAGCCGGCCUGAGAGGGCGACCGGCCACAUUGGGACUGAGAUACGGCCCAGACUCCUACGGGAGGCAGCAGUGGGGAAUAUUGCACAAUGGGCGAAAGCCUGAUGCAGCGACGCCGCGUGCGGGAUGAAGGCCUUCGGGUUGUAAACCGCUUUUGAUUGGGAGCAAGCGAGAGUGAGUGUACCUUUCGAAUAAGCACCGGCUAACUACGUGCCAGCAGCCGCGGUAAUACGUAGGGUGCAAGCGUUAUCCGGAAUUAUUGGGCGUAAAGAGCUCGUAGGCGGCUUGUCGCGUCUGGUGUGAAAGUCCAUCGCUUAACGGUGGAUCUGCGCCGGGUACGGGCAGGCUAGAGUGCGGUAGGGGAGAUUGGAAUUCCCGGUGUAACGGUGGAAUGUGUAGAUAUCGGGAAGAACACCAAUGGCGAAGGCAGAUCUCUGGGCCGUUACUGACGCUGAGGAGCGAAAGCAUGGGGAGCGAACAGGAUUAGAUACCCUGGUAGUCCAUGCCGUAAACGGUGGAUGCUGGAUGUGGGGCCCAUUCCACGGGUUCCGCGUCGGAGCUAACGCGUUAAGCAUCCCGCCUGGGGAGUACGGCCGCAAGGCUAAAACUCAAAGAAAUUGACGGGGGCCCGCACAAGCGGCGGAGCAUGCGGAUUAAUUCGAUGCAACGCGAAGAACCUUACCUGGGCUUGACAUGUUCAUGACGGUCGCGGAGACGCGGCUUCCCUUCGGGGCAGGUUCACAGGUGGUGCAUGGUCGUCGUCAGCUCGUGUCGUGAAAUGUUGGGUUAAGUCCCGCAACGAGCGCAACC
Molecule: ribosomal RNA, 839 nt
Filed under: Bifidobacterium sp. 215
Lineage: Bacteria; Bacillati; Actinomycetota; Actinomycetes; Bifidobacteriales; Bifidobacteriaceae
Description: bacterial SSU rRNA
Rfam family: Bacterial small subunit ribosomal RNA
Source: RNAcentral